GAUACCGAUCUAUCGGAAUUCUAAUUUGAGGGAACGAGUUCACCUGAAAAGAUUGGGGCUUCAGAUUCGUAAUAGAGAUUACGAGUGUCCGAAGCUGAAAGCAGCGGGGUUAUACCCCUGAAAUUGAGGCUUAGCCUCCCUAGAGAUCGCUGUUAAGCUCUGUAGGGAAGGGCUCAACUCGGCGGGAGAUCCGGAGUUGUGGCGAAAGGAAGCAGCGUAUAGCAGACCACGGAGACGGUGAGGUGAUGGAUGAUAAUUGUACUCGACAGGAUCGUCGGAGGUGGUCUGAAAAUUGGAAGGGAGUGGAAUGGUUGUGAUCCAAUUUAUUUUUAUCAAAAAUGCCUGUUUAGAUUCCUUUUACAAGUUUACUUAAAUAGAAAAAUUUAAAAGGUGCAACUCUGACAUAUUAUUAUAACUUAAGGUCUUCUUCAUAAAAUUCCCAAUAAAUUGGGGUUCCGUUGAAUCAUCCCAUGAGAUAAUCCCUCAUCCAGCCAGGAGUGCUGCUCUUGCGGGUAGACAUCCGGCUUGGGCCGGGUUCAUGUUCGCUCAACUGUCUCCGCUCACAAUCUUCCCCAAGUCCGGCGAUUAGGUCAUCAUUCUCGUCCUCCGGCGAUGCUUCCCUUCUAAUGUUCUCGACGUCGGCGCAUACUUCUUGGAAAUCAAUUGGCCUCGCAUCAUCUCUCCGCCCUUGAAAACUAACAUUGUCCUCAAUGUUCACAGAAGGGAACGAUUUCCUCAAAUCAGUUUCUGAUUCCCACGAUGCAUCCUCUGGGAUUGUGCCGUGCCAUUUUACAAGUACCUGCUCUUUCUUUCUUCCUCCUUGAAAAAUAGUUCUUCUGUUUAGAAUUGAUAUUGGGUAUAUUAUUGGUUUGUUGUUGACAGAAAUGAUUGGUUGAUUUUGUGUAUUCUCCUCAGGUGGGUUUCCUUCGAAUUUUCUGAGCUUUGAUAUAUGGAAUGAAGGGUGUAUUUUGCUGCCUUCUGGCAGUUCUAAUCUGUAAGCAACUUCAUUGAUCUUCUUGCUGAUUUUAUAUGGCCCAAAGUAUUUUUUACAGAAUUUAUUGUGUAACCUGUGGGCAAUGGAUUCUUGCCUGUAUGGUUUGAGAUGAACUAAUACCCAUUCCCCUUCUUCAAAUUUCAGAUCUAUUCUGUUUUUAUCUGCUUGGUUUUUCAUUCUUGAUUGAGCUAGCAUUAGAUUCUUUUUAAUCGAGUCUAGUGUAGCUUCCCUGAUUUGUAAUUCCACCUCUACUGCUUGGAUAGUUGAUUCACCCUCUUUAUAAUGAGGAAUUUCAGUUGCUUCUUUACCAUAUAAUACUUUGAAAGGUGUCAUCCCUAAAGAAGAGUGAUAGCUAGAGUUGUACCAUAAUUCGGCCCAAGGUAGUAACUUCAACCACUUGUUAGGGUGCUCAUGGCAGUAGGACCUUAGAUACAUCUCUAAUGUUCUGUUCACAACCUCAGUUUGCCCAUCUGAUUGAGGGUGGUAAGCAGAAGAAAAAUUCAGUUUAGUGCCACUGAGAGUGUUUAGUUCCUUCCAGAAUUUAGAAGUGAAUACCCUAUCUCUGUCCGAUACUAUUGAGCUAGGGAUGCCAUGUAGUUUAACCACAUCUCUAGUAAAAAUUUCAGCUACUUUAGAAGCAUUAAAAUUGGAUGGCAAAGGGCUAAAAUGGGCAUAUUUUGAUAACCUAUCAACCACAACCAUUAUUACUGAUUUAUCUUUAGCUUUUGGGAGGUCGGUGAUGAAAUCCAUGCUGAUAUCUUGCCAAACAGUAGAUGGAAUAGGUAGUGGCAUAAGCAAUCCAGCAAUUUUUGUGUUGUUUGGUUUGAUUUGUUGGCAAGUGACACAUUCCUUCACAUAUUUUUUUAUACUCUCUCCCAUUUUUGGCCAAAAGAAGUGUUUAGCUAUUCUUUUCCACGUCCUAUGAAUUCCUGAGUGUCCACCCAUUUGAGAAUCAUGGAACUCGUAUAAUAUCUUCUUUAUGAAUUCAGAAUUUUCAUGCAAAUAAUAUUUGUUUUUGUAGAAUAAUAUUCCAUUUCUGACCAUAAAUCCAUUAGUCUCAUCUCCUUCUUCAAUAUGAUUGUUGAUGAGUAGUUGGAUGGCUGGAUUAUCUUUAUUUUCUUUCUUUAUAUCUUCUAGUAUGGAGUAAAUAGGUUUUGAUAAAGCUAAUAAUGAACCAGGUAUUCCCACUGAUUUUGAUGUGAAAAUAAUCUCCUCUUUAUCCUCUUCAAACCUUCUUGAUAGUGCAUCAGCUACAAUAUUUUCUUUCCCAGGUUUAUAAAUAAUGGAGAAAUUAAAUCCCAAUAACUUACAUAGAAAAACUUGUUGUUCUGGGGUCUGUAUGACUUGGGUGAGCAAGUUUUUUAAACUUUUAUGAUCGGUUUUGAUCACAAAAUGAGAGCCCAGCAAGUAAUGUCUCCAUUUACUCACAGCUUGAGUAAUGGCAUACAUUUCCUUCACGUAGAUGGAUGCUGCCAUAAUCCUUCCAGAUAGCUUGCGACUGAAGAAGCUGAUAGGAUGUGAUUUUUGGCUAAGAACAGCUCCUACUCCGUUCUUGCAUGCAUCUGUCUCGACUGUAAAUUCCAACUUGAAAUCUGGAAAUUGUAAAACAGGUGCUGUUGUCAUGACAGAUUUUAGUUUCUCAAAACUAAUAGAUGCUUCUUCUCCCCAAUUGAAGUUAUCUUUUUUCAGAAGGUCUGUCAUGGGUGCUGCAAUGGAAGCAUAGCCUUUGAUGAAUCUCCUAUAAUAUCCCGUAAGCCCUAAAAAUCCUCUUAGCAUUUUUAGAUUUUUAGGUCUUGGCCAAUCUAGCAUGGCUUUGAUCUUGUCUUGGUCAGGAUGGACUCCAUCUCCUGCAAUCACAUGACCUAAAAAUGUCAUAGAAUCUUUCCCAAAUGAGCAUUUGGAGAGUUUUACAAUAAGUUUGUUGGCCCUGAGUAGUUCAAAUACGCAUUUCAGAUGUUUGAUGUGGUCUAACAGUGAAGCACUAUACACUAAUAUAUCAUCAAAGAAGACUAUUACAAAUUUCCUCAAGUAUUGAGAGAAAACAGAGUUCAUGACUGAUUGAAAGGUAGCUGGGGCAUUAGUUAACCCGAAGGGCAUUACCAGAAACUCAAAGUGCCCUUGAUGUGUUCUGAAUGCAGUUCUUUCAGUGUGAUUCGGAUUUACUCUGAUCUGAUGAAAUCCUGAUCUCAAAUCCAGCUUUGAAUAAAUGUUAGACCCUUUCAAUUCUCCUAGCAGUUCAUCUACUGUAGGAAUUGGAUAUUUAUCCUUGAUAGUUAAGGCAUUUAAGGCCCUAUAAUCUACACAUAAUCGAUAACCACCAUCUUUUUUUUUUACCAAAAGAACCGGGGAUGAAUAAGGACUUGAACUUGGUUUUAUUAUUCCCUGUUUUAACAUUUCUGAAAUUAAUUUUUCCAUUUCAGAUUUUUGAAAUUGGGGGUAUCUAUAAGGCCUUACAUUGACAGGCUUAGAACCAGGUUCUAGAUGGAUAGAAUGGUUUCUUUCUCUUUGUGGUGGCAACCCACAAGGAUCUUCAAAUAAAUCACAGUUUUCUUGGAUGACAGAUGUGAUUUCUGGAAUUUUAUUUUCCAGAACUGUUCGUGUUUCACUGCCUUCAAUUCUGUCCAAAUAACAGAUAUAUGCUUCUUGAGUGGAUGCCCAUAAGCAUUUGAGCUGUCCCACUGACAAGGGAUCUUCAGAAACCCAAGGUAGACCUGUCCAAAUAACCUUCUUCUCUAGUAGUUUGAACUCCAUAAUGGAUUUGUCAAAAUCAAACGUGACUGGGCCAAAUGUUUUUAGAGCUUGCACCCCCACCACCAUAUUAGUGCCUGCCAUGUGAAUCAGAAAAAUGUCCAUAACUAUAGUGACAUCUUGUAUCUUGACUUCCACCUCUUUACACAUCUUAUUGCAAACUAACUUCUCUCCACUACCAGUUGAGACAUGGAAUGGAGUUAUCAUAUGAAUUGCUAGCUUUAGUGCCACUGCCACAUCUACCUGCAUGAAGUUAUGACUUGACCCUGAGUCAAUUAGAACACUCACUGACUGACAUUUAAUAUAGCCCAUAACUCUGAUAGUGCUGGAGCUAAUGUUUCCUUCAAAUGCGUGUAGGGAUAUUUCAGAUCUGCCCCUGUCCACAGUGUCCACUAUAAUAUCUUCAGUUUCCUCUUCGACUUCAUCUUGUUCAAUAAUUUCUACUAAUUCAACCUCAUCUGCUGAUAGUCUGAAGAGUUUUCCUUUUCUUCCAACACAUACACUGUUGUGAUUGGCACUGAAUUUUUCAUCACAGUUGAAGCAUAGCCCUUUGCUUCUUCUUUCAGCUCUCUCUACUGCAGAUAGCCUCUUGGUGGUUGGACCCACUUCAGUCACUACCGGGUUAGCUUGCUCUUGGGAGGGACCGAUUUUGUUUUGUCUAGGUUCUGAGUGAGAGACUAAUCUGGAUUGCUUUUGUAAAUAUGGUUUAUAUGUGGUUUUGCCUCCCUUUCUAGCUUCUAACAUCAGUGAAAUUUCAAAUGCCUCGUGUAUAUCUCCAGGUUUUGCUAGAAUAACAUCAGACUGUAUCUCUUCUUUUAAUCCUGAGAUGUACAUUUCUAGAAUAAAGUACUCCGGUAGUCCCAAUACUCUUGUGCAUAAUUCCUCAAAUUGGCCUUGGUAUUCUGCCACUGUGCCCUCCUGUAAUAACUUACUCAGCUUGCCACCAGGUAACUGAUAGUGUAGUGAAGUGAAUUUUCUUAUUACUGCAUUAACAAAAUUGGGCCAGUUAGAUAACAUAUGGCUUGCCUCUAGCCAAGCAAACCAUUUUCUUGCCAUUCCAUCGAGAUGAAAUGAUACUAUUAAUAAUUUCUGAUCUUCCGGAACUUUGUUGAAGAUGAAAUAUCUUCUCACAGCAUAUAACCAGUGUUCUGCAUCCUUCCCAUCAAACCUUGGCAUGUUUACCUUUAUAUGUUUUGCAGGAGUGUAGUUUGGGUCUUCAAGUACCCCAACUGCAUAACAAGGUUUAUCCAGGUUUACCACAGAUUGGUAGUAUGUUUGUGGUUGUUUGAUGAUAUUUGAUUGAUUAAAUUUCUCUAGAUCUGGUGGUUUUUCAGGAAUAUCCGGAACUAUAUCCGAAAUUUUAUUGCAUAAUUCAGAUACUUGCUUGCUUAUUUCCAUGAAAUUACUGUUUACUGUUGAUCUGAAUUCUCCCAUUUCUUUGAUCUGACUCAUUUGCAGUGUUUGCAAUCUGAUGAAAUCUGGAUGAGAUGCUAAAUCCAUUAUUUUCUGAAAUUAAGAGUCCACACUUAAGAAAGCACCAAAUGAUACCGAUCUAUCGGAAUUCUAAUUUGAGGGAACGAGUUCACCUGAAAAGAUUGGGGCUUCAGAUUCGUAAUAGAGAUUACGAGUGUCCGAAGCUGAAAGCAGCGGGGUUAUACCCCUGAAAUUGAGGCUUAGCCUCCCUAGAGAUCGCUGUUAAGCUCUGUAGGGAAGGGCUCAACUCGGCGGGAGAUCCGGAGUUGUGGCGAAAGGAAGCAGCGUAUAGCAGACCACGGAGACGGUGAGGUGAUGGAUGAUAAUUGUACUCGACAGGAUCGUCGGAGGUGGUCUGGAAAUUGGAAGGGAGUGGAAGAGUUGUGAUCUAAUUUAUUUUUAUCAAAAAUGCC
Molecule: long non-coding RNA, 5628 nt
Filed under: Zostera marina
Lineage: Eukaryota; Viridiplantae; Streptophyta; Magnoliopsida; Alismatales; Zosteraceae
Description: long non-coding RNA (ZMAR_LNC004669)
Source: RNAcentral